Oncorhynchus tshawytscha (Chinook salmon) is the source of this 1038-nucleotide long non-coding RNA. NCBI's taxonomy places the organism in Eukaryota, Metazoa, Chordata, Actinopteri, Salmoniformes, Salmonidae. The record is from Ensembl.
CACAUGGCAGCCAGAUGGUUAACGGUUUGUCUACACUAGCACACCGUAAUGGAUACGUGCGGUUUAGGCCCCCCAGAGUAGCUCGCGUUUGGGUGUGCUGGAAGCAUAUGGCAGCAAGUUCGAUGUUGCGUCAAGAAUUCAUCAUAGCAAAUACAGAAGCCUGUCUGCAGAUGAAGAGGUCCCAAUGACGAGCAGCGGUUCUCAGUCCUGGUCCCGGGAAAUCAAAGGGAUGCACGUUUCAGCCUUAGCACGACACAGCUGAUUCAAAUGAUCAACUCAUCAAGCUUCAAGUAGUAUUUAUGUAUUCAUUUGUGAUGCUAUCCUUGAUAUGAUCCUGCUAUUGUCACAUGCUACACAUGCAUCUAUCUAUCCAAUGUUAUCAUGAUUUGUUAUGAGGGAUAUUAUACUUCAGUAAUCCACAAUGACCUGGUGAUGUGAAAGUCUAAUGACAUUAUCUUCCAUAUUCCUACAGAUACCUUGUAACAGGACAUUAUUUCAAAAUGAUUUCCUACAGUUACCGUGUAGGGCACUGCAAGGGUGGGUGACCAGGGCCAUCUGGGACUGCCUCCUGGGGGAAUUCAGGCGUGUGAAGGCUACCUGUGUCCUACAUAAUAUAAUGGACACGAGGACCAGGAGGGGAUCUGCAACUCGCCACCAUGUGCCAUAGGAGAAGUCUGCUGCUCUUCAGGAUGUUUCAAGGAUGGGGUCCAACAAUGCAGCAAGAGGCGAGAGAUCUUCACCUCCUACUUCUUCGAAGGGUGUGCUGUUCCCUGGCAACACCAUAGACUACACUAUGAACAACCAAAGGCUAUUUUAAGAGCCAUCCACAUUGAAAUAAGAGUAUUCUUCCAUUUGCUUAGCUAUGUCAACUGCAGUUGUUCAAUUCCCAGUUUCUCUCCCUUUUAAUUUCAACUUCUCAGGUGAGGGUGCUGUUUAGGUAAGGGUGUGAUGUCUGUACAAAAACAAAACAGGCUAUUUUAAGUCUCCCAUAUUGAAAAGAUGUAGAACAAUUAGACACCCUAUAACCCACACCUACAC